This 73-nucleotide transfer RNA is filed under the name Nitrospina gracilis 3/211. It matches the Rfam family "tRNA". Rfam says of the family: Transfer RNA (tRNA) molecules are approximately 80 nucleotides in length. RNAcentral also lists the same sequence under 1 other name. Lineage: Bacteria; Pseudomonadati; Nitrospinota; Nitrospinia; Nitrospinales; Nitrospinaceae. The record is from Rfam by way of RNAcentral.
GCCGAGGUAGCUCAGUCGGUAGAGCAGAGGACUGAAAAUCCUCGUGUCGGCGGUUCGAUUCCGUCCCUCGGCA